This 5231-nucleotide long non-coding RNA is filed under the name Capsella rubella. RNAcentral describes it as "long non-coding RNA (CRUB_LNC004231)". Lineage: Eukaryota; Viridiplantae; Streptophyta; Magnoliopsida; Brassicales; Brassicaceae. The record is from RNAcentral.
AAAGAAGAUAGAAAUCGAAACAAUUAAUGAAAAUAUGGAUGUUGGACCAUUAAGUGUAGAAUCGGUCCAAAUAAGGCAAGUGAGGUGUGCCUUGUAUCUCGUCAACUUGGGAAGGUAAUAGUGACGUCUUGGAAGCUUCUUAUGUACUUGGAGAUGAUGUAUCACACACAUGAACUUAAUAGGCAAGAGUCGUUGUGCCUUGAUGACAAUCGAGUCCAGAAAAGGCGAGUAAUAAUAUGAUUGAAUCCGCCUGAUCCAAUGGCUAUUAUUGUGUGUGAAUAUACUCCAAAUAUUCUCUGGUGGCUUUAGAGGUUCUCCUGGUUUCCAUAUGUAGCUUUGAGACACGUCCAUAUGAAGGUAAAGGAGAUUUUCCUUAUCUUGCUCCAAGUAGAUCAAUCGCCUUGAUUCAAAGGGUGGUUUAGACUUGGGUCUUCUCCUGGGCUGUUCUCCAUGGGCUGGGGCCUUUUGGUGAAUCAAAUGAAUGUGUGGACUCCCUUCAUGGUUGAUCCAAGUGUUAAAAGACUUCAAAUCCUCAAAGCUCGCAAUCUGAUGUAGUUCAGGUAGUCGGUCAGCGAGUAGUUCAGGAAGUCGGUCAGCGAGUAGUUCAGCAUGCUUGUCAGCAAGUAGUUCAGCAUGCUUGUCAGCGAGUAGUUCAGCAUGCUUGUCCGCGAGUAGAUCAGAAUGUACAUCAGCUAUCAUCUUUGAAUCAUAUGGAUGGUGAAUGAUUCCUUGAUGACUUUGUGUUGCCUCAUUAAAAACCUUUCUAGGUAAACCCAUUGGGACAAACCCUAGAUAAGGGAAAAAGAGUACAACAGUCAUAUCCCAAUAGUAAGGUGAUUUGACUUGCUGAUUUUUGAUCCCUCUUGAACUGUCGGACUUCUUAGGGUUAAUAUCAUGGUGAAUAAUUAACCCUUCACCUUGUACUUGAUCAGAACUCCACUUAGACAAAGAUUCUCCAAAAUUCUCCAUGUAGACCGGUUUGGUGUGCUCUUGGUCUGAUCUAGUUCUGAUGUCCGCAUCAUACCCUCUCUCUUGAAAAAGUUUCGACCUCGAAACUGUACAAUCUGCACCAAGAGAAAGUAAGUUAGCUUUCAUGCGAUUUUGAGAUUUCAAGGUCUUACCUUGGUGUUGUUCUGUCUUCAUGAUGCAUGGUGCAUCCGGUGGCUCUCCUUUGAGCAAGAAAGUAAAGAUCACUCCUCGGUUUUGAUCUAGUACAACGGUUGAUGGUGUAACGUGGUUAGCUCCUUCUUGGGUAUGUGCUUGAGUUUUGAAAUCUGGCGGUUCCUCUUUGAUUAAGAAUGAACUUGGGACUCUCCUAGUCUCCAUUAGGGAAGGUGUGACCACCAAUGGCGCUGGUUUACUCCGGUUCCGAUUUUGAUUCAAGCGUUUCUUCAUCUCCGGUGGUUCGCCUUUAUGAUCCUCAUUCGUACCUGCAAUGUUGUUUACACUUUUGGCAAAGAACAAGUGCAUUAAUACAGUCAUGGGAACAAUAUAAACAUGUAAAACAAGGACGAGUUGAACCAUUUCUCUUUUAUAAAGUUUAUCAAUAAGUAUGGCACAAAGUGUAUCAACUAAUCGAUAUGAUUUAAAACAAGAAAUUGAUUCUACAUGUUUAUUUAAAUAACCAACGUUUCUCUCAAACUUUCUAGACCUUAACAACAUUAUUAUCACAUCAUUCAAAUUAUUAGAAAUAACUCGAAGUAACGUGGGACUUACUUGACAUAGAUCUUUGUUGAAUAUAUCUUUCGAAAUAACCACGGUUGGUUGAUUCAAUGACUGGUCUGGUGAUUCUUCUUGCAGCAAGAUGUUGUAGGUGCUAACUUCAUCAUCUUUAUUAGCUGGUAAACACAUCUUAAGCUCUUGAACUGGAUGCAUGUUAUCACUCUUUGCUAGUUUCUCCGUUUGCUCCACAUUCAAUAUCCUGUGGGAUGUGGUCUCUCGCUCAUCAUGAUACUCUUUUAUGGUACCUGUAUCUUUCUUGACACUUAAGAAUAAAAUCAAGUGCAUUAUACUUGAAAUAAAAUCAUUUAAAACAAAGUCUUUGAAGCUACGAUUAAUUAUUAAAUUAUUCCAAUAUCGAACAAGAUCGUAGGUUUCACUUACUAGGAUAUCAUUUAAGGUGUUUGGUAUGAACUCAACCUUAAUGAGAGAGAUGUUUGAAGCAAGAUAAGAUGAUGUUGAACAUAGUUGGGCCUUCACACGUGCUUCAACAAAUGCUUGCUCACACGUCUCAUUUUUGCAAACUUGUGAUAACGUUGUUUCCGAAAGUUUCUCCUUAAGGCUUAUGUCAUUCUCAACUUCCUUAGGAGUUGCUACAUUAUGGUUUGCUUCUUCAGCCAUGUCAUUCAUGAUAUGGCACAGACCUGCAUCAAUAACCUUUGGCAAAGACAAGUGCAUUAAUCUAGAAUUGGAAAUUUCUAAACUUUAUUUCAUUAGACAAUCAUUUUAGUUAGAUGCAUUCAGUUUUAACUCUAUUGAUGUGAUACCUUCUACUUGUCUUUCAGGACAUAUUGCAGCAAAAUGACCUCUCUUAUGGCAUCUAUAACAUGUUGGUGCAUUUGAAUUUAAAUAGUUAGAGGACUUACCUUGCUCUUGUUUAUCUUGCGGCUUAAGUAAAGGUAUUGAAGCCGAAUCUUCCCUUUCACCUAUACCUUUCUCAUUCUUCUUGGAUGAAAGCAAGUGUAUCACGUGCUCAACUUGUUGAUAAAANNNNNNNNNNNNNNNNNNNNNNNNNNNNNNNNNNNNNNNNNNNNNNNNNNNNNNNNNNNNNNNNNNNNNNNNNNNNNNNNNNNNNNNNNNNNNNNNNNNNGCUUAGAAGUUGUGUCACUUACCUUGGCGGGUGAUAUAUCCGCGUUGUGUUUGGAACUAACACGUUGAUGUGUUGUGUUCUCUCGGCUUGGUUCCUUUGAGGGAUAAGUGUUUUGACCGGGAUGGGACAUCAUUUGAGGUGCAUAUCUCUCCCUCAUAAGCAGCUUUAUUUGUCCCCACGUUCUGAGUGAUGGCUCCUUGUACCAUACUCUAUCUUUUUCCUCUCGCUUCCACCAAUGUUUUGCACUUCCCAUGAAUUGUUCAAGACUGUAGGUGAGCCUCUCUUCUUUGGGAAUGGAAUAGUACCUAAAGUACUUGUCCAUGUUGAUUUCCCAUUGUAGAUAAUCUCUUUCAUGUCCUGCAAAUUCAAAACUUUCAGGUCCAAAAUACUCAUAACCAUUGUUUAGAGAUAACAUGUAAUUCGUCUUGUGGGUUCGGUUGGGAUUGGAUAGCAACGGGUCUCUUCUAGCACCAUAUUCUAGCUCGCCUCCUCUUAGUUUACUGGUCCUUGCAUCUCUCUCAGCUAGGGGAUCACGUCUACCACUUGAAUGUGGUUCAAAACGAAUUGAUGAUCGUUGACUCACUUCCUGUACUACUCGUGGGUUUGUACAGAAGUACUUGUCUCUUGGUUUUGUUUGACGUGAGGCUGUAGGGACUCGGUGUAAUAAGAGGUGAUGGUCGGUCUUCUCUUCACGCCUUGGAGGACGUCGAUACUGGUUGCCCUUUGUUGUUGCCUUUUUAUACUCCAUGUCUUCUUUUCGCUUAAGAUAAUCAUCUUUUCCUGAAAAAGACAUAAUUUGGGUCAGUGGGGAUUUUGAACCAUGGCUGGAAAAAUUUUCAUUAAAUUUAAUCCAUGGUUUAGAAUAGCCUUUAUUGCUGUUGUAUGAGUCAGGCGGUUCUGGUUCUGGUGCUUCAUGGCCUGGUUCAUCUCUUGAAUCAGAAGUUGAACUAUCAUCUCUUUGCCACGCGACUGUUCCAUAGUUGUCUUCCUCAUCUAACGUGACUUGAUAGGGAUCUUCUCCAUGAAUUUCUGCAUCUGAAUAAAGCUCAAUAGACUCCAUGUUUGCUCUGGUCUUCGUAAUUGAAAAAUCUUGCACAAGCAAAAGAAAGAUGUAUCAAAAAGUAAAUCAACAAAUAAGGAAAAUACUUCAAAAAAAUAGAAAUGAAUAUAUAUAUAUUUUUUUUAAAUAAAUCCGAAAAAUUCAAAUAACGAAAAGGAAAAAUUCAGCUUUUAUUUUAUUUUCUGGUUUUAUAAAAAUAAAAUACGAAAUUAAUAUAAAAUAACAAAAAUUAUGAUUUUUAUGGCUUUUCUUUUAAUAAAUCCGAAAUAAAUAAGAAAAUGAAGUAAAACAAUUUUUUUUUGAUAAAAUACUGAAGCAAAUAACAAGAUUAAUGCAAGGAAUAAAAAUUUAUUUGAUUAUUUAUAUAUAUAUAUAUAUAUAAAAUAAAAAUAAUAAGAAAAAAUAGAAAAACAAAUAUAGGUUGAAAAGAUACAACCUUGGGGAUAGGAGCUUUUGAAGCUCUGAUACCAGAUGAUGCAAGAUUGGAAUCACUCCAAAGUUUAGAUCACUUGAUGAUCAAGAGAUUCCAAGCUUAGCUUGCGGAAGGUGGAAUUCACGAGCUGGCCAGAAGCACUCUCUCGUGAAUCAGUGGGUGGUUCAGGGGAUAGUUCAGGUGAUUGACUCGCUCAAUCAGUGGGAUAAUCGACUCACUCGAUCAAUGGACGAAUGAAGGUUGUUGAAUCACACAACAAACUUAAUCCGCAGGUUUCUAAAGAACUAAGUGACUCACUCACAAAGAACUAAAGAAGAAGAUUGACAAAGACUCAAACUUUGACAAGAAGAAUACUUUUCUAUUACUUUAAAUUGAUCAAGGGUGUUUUUACAAUGAGACUAAUGAUCAGCUUAUAUAGGCUGAAUACACACGUUCUAAACCUAGAAAGAAGAUAGAAAUCGAAACAAUUAAUGAAAAUAUGGAUGUUGGACCAUUAAGUGUAGAAUCGGUCCAAAUAAGGCAAGUGAGGUGUGCCUUGUAUCUCGUCAACUUGGGAAGGUAAUAGUGACGUCUUGGAAGCUUCUUAUGUACUUGGAGAUGAUGUAUCACACACAUGAACUUAAUAGGCAAGAGUCGUUGUGCCUUGAUGACAAUCGAGUCCAGAAAAGGCGAGUAAUAAUAUGAUUGAAUCCGCCUGAUCCAAUGGCUAUUAUUGUGUGUGAAUAUACUCCAAAUAUUCUCUGGUGGCUUUAGAGGUUCUCCUGGUUUCCAUAUGUAGCUUUGAGACACGUCCAUAUGAAGGUAAAGGAGAUUUUCCUUAUCUUGCUCCAAGUAGAUCAAUCGCCUUGAUUCAAAGGGUGGUUUAGACUUGGGUCUUCUCUUGGGCUGUUCUCCAUGGGCUGGGGCCUUUUGGUGAAUCAAAUGAAUGU